This 1024-nucleotide long non-coding RNA is filed under the name Eutrema salsugineum. RNAcentral describes it as "long non-coding RNA (ESAL_LNC002002)". The record is from RNAcentral. Lineage: Eukaryota; Viridiplantae; Streptophyta; Magnoliopsida; Brassicales; Brassicaceae.
UAUAUAUACGUAUUAGUUUCUCAAGGGUGUGUCGGCAACGGAGGCCAUUUGCCGAACUUAGGGUGGUGAAAGUAUUUAGGAGGAAGAGGCGGUAACUUUGGAAGUGGCGGACAUGGCUUCUUCGGAAUCACCACCGGUGGUAUGUGUAUUGGUACCGGCGGAGGACACGGCUUCUUCGGGAUCACCGGUGGCACGUAGAUUGGUGGAUGCUCUAUCUUCGGCGGCGGCUUGUAGAUUGGAACCGGCGGCGGAAGCUCUAUCUUCGGUGGUUUAGGCGGACACGGCUUAUUUGUCGGCGGCUUGUAGAUCGGAACCGGUGGUGGAAGCUCGAUCUUUGGCGGUUUGGGCGGGCACGGCUUCUUUGGCGGCUUGUGGACUGGAACCGGCGGUGGAUGGACUAUCUUCGGCGGUUUGGGCGGAUAAGACUUCUUAGGCGGUGGUUUGUGCACUGGCACCGGCGGUGGAUCAACUUUCUUCGGCGGCUUAGGUGGGCAUGGCUUCUUGGGGAUUGGCGGUGGCUUGUGUACCGGAACCGGGGGUGGGUGCUCUAUCUUUGGUGGCGGCUUGUAAACCGGAACCGGAGGUGGGUGCUCUACCUUUGGCGGCGGCUUGUAAACCGGAACCGGUGGUGGAUGCUCUAUCUUUGGCGGUUUAGGCGGACAAGGCUUCUUAGGAAUCGGCGGUGGGAGCUCCACCUUUGGAGGUGGUUUGUGAACCGGGACAGGAGGGGGAAGCUCUACCUUUGGAGGUGGCUCGUGAACCGGGACAGGUGGGGGAAGCUCUACCUUAGGCGGUGGCUCGUGAACCGGGACAGGUGGCGGAAGAUCAACCUUUGGGGGUGGGUCGUAAACCGGGACCGGAGGUGGGCAAGGUUUCUUGAAUUUGGGGAACGGUGGAAGCACCAAAGGUGGAGGUAAAGGGAAAGGAUGAUCAAAGCCCUUAAAUGGAGGGAGCUUAGGCAUGUGCCAGAAGAAUUUCGAAACGCAGAGUUCCGGUGAAAAUUUUAGGUUUUGUUUGAGACCCA